Long non-coding RNA from Acanthochromis polyacanthus (spiny chromis), 1362 nucleotides. RefSeq lists it as uncharacterized. The record is from RefSeq and is a predicted model, not a curated record. The transcript is spliced from 3 exons. NCBI's taxonomy places the organism in Eukaryota, Metazoa, Chordata, Actinopteri, Pomacentridae.
AAAAAAUGUGGAUAAAGCUGCUGUCAUUGACAGCUUUGAAAUGACACACACCUGGACAAAGAAUACCUCCAAACUGAAAGUUUGUAGAGAACAGAUUUUUCUAGUUGCAUAAUGGUUAUGCCAUUGCUUUGAUUGCCAUUGUUUAAUUUUACUUUUGUAUUAUCCUUAAGUUUUUUUGUUUAUUUUGUAUUGAUUUUCAGAUGGAUCCAAUGGCCUUCAAAAUGAUUCUGGUCAUUUUUAAUGACCACCACCAUUGGAUGUUAACGGUAAAGCUUUGACUGUCACUUUGAAAAGCUAUAAAAUAGUCCCCACAUGGAGACUGACAUGAAAAGUUAAUCAUUAUGCCUUAGGAAGUAUUUUAAACAAAUAUUUAUCCCUGUUUGUAUUGCCUCACUUGGUAGUAGUGGCAAAGUUCUAAAAUUAAUGUUACCUUCCAAAAUGCAAAGGUUAUUUAUCCUCACGAAAAGAAGACCUUGUUUGUGGAUCCAAUGGGAGAAUCUCAAGCAAAGAUAAAAAAGAUGCCUGGAAACAACACGGCAACAAGAACUUCAAGAAAGCAGUUACAAAAAUUGAAUACUGGUGUGGACAGUUAAAUGCAUUUCAUUUUCAUUUCUUUUCCAAGGGCAUUCAUGUGGAGGGGAGGCUGCAAAAUAUCGAGGUGGGCAUGCAGCACCCUUCCCCAUGGACUUCAGCGUGACGGCACAUCAUGCGGUGUCUUGGCCUUGAAAGUGACUGUUUCCUAUAGCCAAACCUUCAAUGUUGAAUAAAUCAAUCCAUUACAUAUUGCGUACAUUAUUUAUAGCAGGUUUUAAGCUUGUAUUGGUCUUUCACUUUCUUCAUUAUUGUUUGUAAUUUGUCCACUUUUUUAGCAAAGUGCUACCAAGUGUCACUGUUCAUUAGAUCCAUAUUUAAUAACCUGUUGUCUUUAGUUAGCUCAGUGUAUAUUGGAAGAACAGCCCAUGACUCUUGAUACAAGUAGAGGGGCUGUCAACAAGAUGAGAGAAGACAUUGCCACAACUCUUCUCCGUGAAUCUGAAUCGCUCAAGAAUCUUUGCCAUCAUUGCGGGUCUGAGGGAAUGGAUGGCGUGCUAUGGAUUGGUUGUGACAAGUGCAGCAGAUGGUACCACCAUGACUGCGUGAAGAAUCCUGCUCUGAACGAGGACUACCUCUGCCCUCUCUGCAUGCAAGAUUAGGGGAAGAGAAGGACUUUAUUGUGUGUUAUUGUGUCAAUUUAUUUGACACAAUAAGGGUGGCGCUGACAGACUUGAUGUGAGUUUACUAGUGCCGAGCUAGGCAGCUAACAGCACAAUAUAACCCCCCCCCCAACCACACCAAUGCUGUCCCUUAAGUUUUUAGGGCCAA